Octopus sinensis (East Asian common octopus) is the source of this 241-nucleotide long non-coding RNA. RefSeq lists it as uncharacterized. The transcript is spliced from 2 exons. Lineage: Eukaryota; Metazoa; Mollusca; Cephalopoda; Octopoda; Octopodidae. The record is from RefSeq and is a predicted model, not a curated record.
GCGUAAUUAAUUAGUAGAAUGUGAGGAGUCCGAUUGAAGAAUUCCACAUUAAUAUAUGUUAUCCUGUUGUUUAUGAGGCAUUGAUAAAACGAAUAUCAAAUCUUGUUGACAUAAAGGAAAUUUUGUCGUUCAGAUGUGACUUUUGAUAUUUUUAUGGACUUUCAUCAACUAAAGGAAGACGAUAUAUUUAUAAGGAGCAUUCAUCUAUACAUCAACGUUUCUAUAUAAAUAUAAUAUAUGA